UUUCGAUCAUUUAGUUUUCGUUUGUGACGCCGCGCGGUGGGAAAAAUUUGUUCGUGUGUAAAGUGUUUUUCUUUUUGUUUUUUAUGUAAUUGUUAAAUAGUUAAUCGCAGCUUCAAGUGUUUUAAUUACUUAAUAAAGAGUGCUAUUGUGCGUGGCUUAUUAUUUUAAAGCAGUAUAAUGUCAAUAAAUGAAAUAAAAAUGCAGCAUAAAAGUGACGCCUGCAGGCCUGCUGAAAAAAAAUCGUUCGCGUGUGUAUGUGUGAGUGAAGUGCUUGUGAGUAAGAGGAGCAAGGAGAAAAGAAAUGCAAAUGCAAUAACCGCAGCAUAAGAAAAUACUAGGAAAUCCAUUUCUUUUCGAAGUUCGUGACUCCAACUAAGUUUAUUACUGAAAAUUGACAUGAAACCACCCACGCGACGAAACAAAUCCGUUGUGUCAACACAGAAAAGCAGGAAGUGGGGGCAGAGAGGGAGAGAGGGGACAGAAGUGUCUCCGAACUGUUCGACCGCGGGUCGCGAAGCCACUGCACUGCACAUUGAUUCAAUUUACGAGUCUGCGGACAGAGAUAUUGACGAGAUCUUUUUCUGCGGAGAGAGCGAUUUGCUGGUGGUAAAGUGCAUUUCUUUUUUUCGAGAUGUUCCAAAAUGCGGAAAUUCAAAUGCGUGGGACUUUGGCGAGAACGACGAGUAACAUUCAGCUGAGAGUUAUGUUAAUUGUUGACACGUCAAUUUGAAUCACGACUUACACUUGUCUGCCUGCGACGAGGCGACUCGAGAUUAUUUACGAUUCGCCGGGUGAAAAUCGCAAUUAUCAUUUUUUAUUAUGAUUUAAUGGUCCCCAACCAAAAACAAAAAAAAAAAAAACUCGAGAAUGAAGCUGAAGUGAAAUGCUUUCCAUUUAUUUGUUGCCAGUGUUGCAAAAUGCGCUCAGUAAGUUGACUUCAAGAUGGCGCUAGUGGUAAAGAAUUAAAAAAAGUGACAACGAACAAAAUCGGUGUUGAUAAACGCGCUAAGUGAUUUGUGUUAAAGAUGGCGCUACAGUGGCGUCUUGAAUUGAGUGUACGCUAGUGUUAUACGUGAUAUACAAUGAACACCGAAGGAAUAAUUCAAUGAAAGUUGGAAAGGAAUACAUCCCAUAAUUAAUAUUAA
Molecule: long non-coding RNA, 1145 nt
Organism: Drosophila sulfurigaster albostrigata
Lineage: Eukaryota; Metazoa; Arthropoda; Insecta; Diptera; Drosophilidae
Exons: 4
Source: RefSeq, a predicted model, not a curated record